GCAAACUUGGUCAUUUAGAGGAAGUAAAAGUCGUAACAAGGUCUCCGUAGGUGAACCUGCGGAGGGAUCAUUAUCGACUUGGGCCUUUUGGCCCUCAACACAUCAAAUCUGUGGACCUAAAAUCCGUGCUUCGGCACCUAAUUUUUUGGCGCCGCUUUUAUGCAGAAGGCUGGAUAUUGUCUGAUCUUUGCAAAAGAUUUAAAACUUUCAACAAAGGAUCUCUUGGCUCUCGCAUCGAUGAAGAACGCAGC
This 251-nucleotide unclassified non-coding RNA is filed under the name uncultured fungus. RNAcentral's name for it is "partial contains small subunit ribosomal RNA, internal transcribed spacer 1, and 5.8S ribosomal RNA". The stretch from base 1 to 73 matches the Rfam family "Eukaryotic small subunit ribosomal RNA", at positions 1759 to 1831 of the family's 1831-position model. Lineage: Eukaryota; Fungi. The record is from RNAcentral.